Molecule: non-coding RNA, 115 nt
Organism: Triticum aestivum (bread wheat)
Lineage: Eukaryota; Viridiplantae; Streptophyta; Magnoliopsida; Poales; Poaceae
Source: Rfam
GUAGUACUCCCUCCGUUCGGAAUUACUCGUCCAAGAAAUGAAUGUAUCUAGAUGUAUUUUAGUUGUAGAUACGUCCAUUUUUGUGACAAGUAAUUCCGAACGAAGGGAGUAACUA